RNAcentral lists this ribosomal RNA (754 nucleotides) under uncultured bacterium. RNAcentral's name for it is "bacterial SSU rRNA". It matches the Rfam family "Bacterial small subunit ribosomal RNA", at positions 170 to 917 of the family's 1533-position model. The record is from RNAcentral.
CGCAUGAGACCACAGAAUCGCAUGAUAUAGGGGUCAAAGAUUUAUCGGUGUAAGAAGGGCUCGCGUCUGAUUAGCUAGUUGGAAGGGUAAAGGCCUACCAAGGCGACGAUCAGUAGCCGGUCUGAGAGGAUGAACGGCCACAUUGGAACUGAGACACGGUCCAAACUCCUACGGGAGGCAGCAGUGGGGAAUAUUGCACAAUGGGGGGAACCCUGAUGCAGCGACGCCGCGUGAGUGAAGAAGGUUUUCGGAUCGUAAAGCUCUGUUGUAAGAGAAGAACGAGUGUGAGAGUGGAAAGUUCACACUGUGACGGUAACUUACCAGAAAGGGACGGCUAACUACGUGCCAGCAGCCGCGGUAAUACGUAGGUCCCGAGCGUUAUCCGGAUUUAUUGGGCGUAAAGCGAGCGCAGGCGGUUAGAUAAGUCUGAAGUUAAAGGCUGUGGCUUAACCAUAGUACGCUUUGGAAACUGUUUAACUUGAGUGCAGAAGGGGAGAGUGGAAUUCCAUGUGUAGCGGUGAAAUGCGUAGAUAUAUGGAGGAACACCGGUGGCGAAAGCGGCUCUCUGGUCUGUAACUGACGCUGAGGCUCGAAAGCGUGGGGAGCAAACAGGAUUAGAUACCCUGGUAGUCCACGCCGUAAACGAUGAGUGCUAGGUGUUGGGUCCUUUCCGGGACUCAGUGCCGCAGCUAACGCAUUAAGCACUCCGCCUGGGGAGUACGACCGCAAGGUGAAACUCAAAGGAAUUGACGGA